CUUCACUCACUACUUGUCCCCCAGAUUUGUUUCAUUCCCCUAGAAAAAUAAAAUAUUAUUCCUUUGUCCUUUUGGCCAGACCUACAGCAGGAGUAAGCCUGCAGCAAUAUUCACGAACUGAACUCUGGAAGUCCAUCCAGCCUUCAUACUCUGCAGACUGCAAGCAGAUGUUUCUAAGCAAGGCUAAUCGAAAGUGGAAGGAAGGGGGAGAAGGAGAAUCAGAAAUAAAGUCAACUUAUGGGAAGAACACUCGUUUCAAGGCAAGGAGGCUUCCUUAGCAGGUACUGAUCUGUCAUUUGCACCCAAUAGUCUGCGUUUUCCUCACUGACUUCAAGUCCCA
Molecule: long non-coding RNA, 340 nt
Filed under: Anser brachyrhynchus (Pink-footed goose)
Lineage: Eukaryota; Metazoa; Chordata; Aves; Anseriformes; Anatidae
Description: lncRNA (ENSABRG00000016342.1)
Source: RNAcentral